RNAcentral lists this ribosomal RNA (429 nucleotides) under Bacteroidota bacterium. RNAcentral's name for it is "Bacteroidetes bacterium partial 16S ribosomal RNA". It matches the Rfam family "Bacterial small subunit ribosomal RNA", at positions 355 to 776 of the family's 1533-position model. Lineage: Bacteria; Pseudomonadati; Bacteroidota. The record is from RNAcentral.
UAGGGAAUCUUCCGCAAUGGACGCAAGUCUGACGGAGCAACGCCGCGUGAGUGAAGAAGGAUUUCGGUUCGUAAAACUCUGUUGUUAGAGAAGAACAGCGCAUAGAGUAACUGUUAUGCGUGUGACGGUAUCUAACCAGAAAGCCACGGCUAACUACGUGCCAGCAGCCGCGGUAAUACGUAGGUGGCAAGCGUUGUCCGGAUUUAUUGGGCGUAAAGCGAGCGCAGGCGGUCAAUUAUGUCUGAUGUGAAAGCCCCCGGCUCAACCGGGGAGAGUUAUUGGAAACAGGUCGACUUGAGUGAAGAAGAGGAGAGUGGAAUUCCAUGUGUAGCGGUGAAAUGCGUAGAUAUAUGGAGGAACACUAGUGGCAAAGGCAACUUUCUGGUCUAUAACUGACGCUGAGGUUCAAAAGCGUGGGUAGCAAACAGG